RNAcentral lists this ribosomal RNA (301 nucleotides) under uncultured bacterium. RNAcentral's name for it is "partial 16S ribosomal RNA". It matches the Rfam family "Bacterial small subunit ribosomal RNA", at positions 509 to 807 of the family's 1533-position model. The record is from RNAcentral.
CAGCCGCCGCGGUAAUACAGAGGGUGCGAGCGUUAAUCGGAUUUACUGGGCGUAAAGCGUGCGUAGGCGGCUUUUUAAGUCGGAUGUGAAAUCCCUGAGCUUAACUUAGGAAUUGCAUUCGAUACUGGGAAGCUAGAGUAUGGGAGAGGAUGGUAGAAUUCCAGGUGUAGCGGUGAAAUGCGUAGAGAUCUGGAGGAAUACCGAUGGCGAAGGCAGCCAUCUGGCCUAAUACUGACGCUGAGGUACGAAAGCGUGGGGAGCAAACAGGAUUAGAUACCCCAGUAGUCCCUGUCUCUUAUAC